GCCCCCGUAGCCCAAUUGGCAGAGGCAGGCGACUUAAAAUCGCCGCAGUCUGGGUUCGAACCCCAGCGGGGGCA
Molecule: transfer RNA, 74 nt
Filed under: Labedella endophytica
Lineage: Bacteria; Bacillati; Actinomycetota; Actinomycetes; Micrococcales; Microbacteriaceae
Description: tRNA-Leu
Rfam family: tRNA
About the family: Transfer RNA (tRNA) molecules are approximately 80 nucleotides in length. Their secondary structure includes four short double-helical elements and three loops (D, anti-codon, and T loops).
Source: RNAcentral